GACGAACGCUGGCGGCGUGCUUAACACAUGCAAGUCGAACGGAAAGGCCCUGCUUUUGUGGGGUGCUCGAGUGGCGAACGGGUGAGUAACACGUGAGUAACCUGCCCUUGACUUUGGGAUAACUUCAGGAAACUGGGGCUAAUACCGGAUAGGAGCUCCUGCUGCAUGGUGGGGGUUGGAAAGUUUCGGCGGUUGGGGAUGGACUCGCGGCUUAUCAGCUUGUUGGUGGGGUAGUGGCUUACCAAGGCUUUGACGGGUAGCCGGCCUGAGAGGGUGACCGGCCACAUUGGGACUGAGAUACGGCCCAGCCUCCUACGGGAGGCAGCAGUGGGGAAGAGUGCACAAGGGGCGGAAGCCUGAUGCAGCAACGCCGCGUGCGGGAUGACGGCCUUCGGGUUGUAAACCGCUUUCGCCUGUGACGAAGCGUGAGUGACGGUAAUGGGUAAAGAAGCACCGGCUAACUACGUG
Molecule: ribosomal RNA, 468 nt
Filed under: uncultured bacterium
Lineage: Bacteria
Description: partial 16S ribosomal RNA
Rfam family: Bacterial small subunit ribosomal RNA
Source: RNAcentral